CCUACGGGGCGCUGCAGUGAGGAAUAUUGGUCACUGGACGAGAGUCUGAACCAGCCAAGUAGCGUGAAGGAUGACUGCCCUAUGGGUUGUACACUUCUUUUAUAUGGGAAUAAAAUGUUCCACGUGUGGGAUUUUGUAUGUACCAUAUGAAUAAGGAUCGGCUAACUCCGUGCCAGCAGCCGCGGUAAUACUGAGGAUCCGAGCGUUAUCCGGAUUUAUUGGGUUUAAAGGGAGCGUAGGUGGAUUGUUAAGUCAGUUGUGAAAGUUUGCGGCUUAACCGUAAAAUUGAAGUUGAAACUGGCAGUCUUGAGUACAGUAGAGGUGGGCGGAAUUCGUGGUGGAGCUGUGAAAUGCUUAGAUAUCACGAAGAACUCCGAUUGCGAAGGCAGUUCACUGGACUGCAACUGACACUGAGGCUCGAAAGUGUGGGUAUCAAACAGGAUUAGAUACCCCAGUAGUC
This 460-nucleotide ribosomal RNA is filed under the name uncultured bacterium. RNAcentral's name for it is "partial 16S ribosomal RNA". It matches the Rfam family "Bacterial small subunit ribosomal RNA", at positions 338 to 795 of the family's 1533-position model. The record is from RNAcentral.